AGCGGAGAUGAGGNGCUUGCACCUUAUCUUAGCGGCGGACGGGUGAGUAAUGCUUAGGAAUCUGCCUAUUAGUGGGGGACAACAUUCCGAAAGGAAUGCUAAUACCGCAUACGUCCUACGGGAGAAAGCAGGGGAUCUUCGGACCUUGCGCUAAUAGAUGAGCCUAAGUCGGAUUAGCUAGUUGGUGGGGUAAAGGCCUACCAAGGCGACGAUCUGUAGCGGGUCUGAGAGGAUGAUCCGCCACACUGGGACUGAGACACGGCCCAGACUCCUACGGGAGGCAGCAGUGGGGAAUAUUGGACAAUGGGGGGAACCCUGAUCCAGCCAUGCCGCGUGUGUGAAGAAGGCCUUAUGGUUGUAAAGCACUUUAAGCGAGGAGGAGGCUACUGAGACUAAUACUUUUGGAUAGUGGACGUUACUCGCAGAAUAAGCACCGGCUAACUUUGUGCCAGCAGCUGCGGUAAUACAGAGGGUGCGAGCGUUAAUCGGAUUUACUGGGCGUAAAGCGUGCGUAGGCGGCUUUUUAAGUCGGAUGUGAAAUCCNCUGAGCUUAACUUGGGAAUUGCAUUCGAUACUGGGAAGCUAGAGUAUGGGAGAGGAUGGUAGAAUUCCAGGUGUAGCGGUGAAAUGCGUAGAGAUCUGGAGGAAUACCGAUGGCGAAGGCAGCCCAUCUGGCCUAAUACUGACGCUGAGGUACGAAAGCAUGGGGAGCAAACAGGAUUAGAUACCCCUGGUAGUCCAUG
RNAcentral lists this ribosomal RNA (743 nucleotides) under uncultured Acinetobacter sp. RNAcentral describes it as "bacterial SSU rRNA". It matches the Rfam family "Bacterial small subunit ribosomal RNA", at positions 65 to 799 of the family's 1533-position model. The record is from RNAcentral. Lineage: Bacteria; Pseudomonadati; Pseudomonadota; Gammaproteobacteria; Moraxellales; Moraxellaceae.